This 89-nucleotide transfer RNA is filed under the name Morganella morganii. RNAcentral describes it as "tRNA-OTHER". Lineage: Bacteria; Pseudomonadati; Pseudomonadota; Gammaproteobacteria; Enterobacterales; Morganellaceae. The record is from RNAcentral.
AUAACUAAUUGAUUUAAAUGUGAGUUUUUUAAUAUUUAAAAUCCCUCGGCCGCAAGGCUGUGCGGGUUCAAGUCCCGCUCUGGGCACCA